GCCCCUGUAGCGCAGUGGUACUUGGCGUAUGCGCAACGGCGUACGCGAAGCGCAAGAGCGCGCGUCCUUGGUAAGGACGAGGUCCCGAGUUCAAAUCUCGGCAGGGGCU
RNAcentral lists this transfer RNA (109 nucleotides) under Nanobdellota archaeon. RNAcentral describes it as "tRNA-Thr". The stretch from base 41 to 109 matches the Rfam family "tRNA". Rfam says of the family: Transfer RNA (tRNA) molecules are approximately 80 nucleotides in length. Lineage: Archaea; Nanobdellati; Nanobdellota. The record is from RNAcentral.